This 557-nucleotide ribosomal RNA is filed under the name uncultured bacterium. Its description in RNAcentral is "partial 16S ribosomal RNA". It matches the Rfam family "Bacterial small subunit ribosomal RNA", at positions 355 to 920 of the family's 1533-position model. The record is from RNAcentral.
UGGGGAAUAUUGCACAAUGGGCGCAAGCCUGAUGCAGCAACGCCGCGUGAGGGAUGACGGCCUUCGGGUUGUAAACCUCUUUUAGUAGGGAAGAAGCGAAAGUGACGGUACCUGCAGAAAAAGCACCGGCUAACUACGUGCCAGCAGCCGCGGUAAUACGUAGGUGCGAGCGUUGUCCGGAAUUAUUGGGCGUAAAGAGCUCGUAGGCGGUCUGUCGCGUCUGCUGUGAAAACCCGAGGCUCAACCUCGGGCCUGCAGUGGGUACGGGCAGACUAGAGUGCGGUAGGGGAGAAUGGAAUUCCUGGUGUAGCGGUGGAAUGCGCAGAUAUCAGGAGGAACACCGAUGGCGAAGGCAGUUCUCUGGGCCGUAACUGACGCUGAGGAGCGAAAGCGUGGGGAGCGAACAGGAUUAGAUACCCUGGUAGUCCACGCCGUAAACGUUGGGCGCUAGAUGUGGGGACCAUUCCACGGUUUUCCGUGUCGGCAGCUAACGCAUUAAGCGCCCCGCCUGGGGAGUACGGCCGCAAGGCUAAAACUGCAAAUGAAUUGACGGGGUC